RNAcentral lists this ribosomal RNA (253 nucleotides) under uncultured bacterium. RNAcentral describes it as "partial 16S ribosomal RNA". It matches the Rfam family "Bacterial small subunit ribosomal RNA", at positions 524 to 776 of the family's 1533-position model. The record is from RNAcentral.
UACAGAGGUCUCAAGCGUUGUUCGGAUUCAUUGGGCGUAAAGGGUGCGUAGGUGGCGCCGUAAGUCAGGUGUGAAAUUUCGGAGCUUAACUCCGAAACUGCAUUCGAUACUGCCGUGCUUGAGGACUGGAGAGGAGACUGGAAUUUACGGUGUAGCGGUGAAAUGCGUAGAUAUCGUAAGGAAGACCAGUGGCGAAGGCGGGUCUCUGGACAGUUCCUGACGCUGAGGCACGAAGGUCAGGGGAGCAAACGGG